GACGAACGCUGGCGGCGCGCUUAACACAUGCAAGUCGAACGGAAAGGCCUGCUUUCCCUUGUGGUUUGCGGGUACUCGAGUGGCGAACGGGUGAGUAAGACGUGAGUGAUCUGCCCCCAACUUGGGUAUAAGCCUGGGAAACUGGGUCUAAUUCCCGAUAGGACUGCAGGGUGGUGCCUGUGGUGGAAAACGAUUUUCUAGUGGUUGGGGAUGAGCUCGCGGCCUAUCAGCUUGUUGGUGGGGUAAUGGCCUACCAAGGCGGCGACGGGUAGCCGGCCUGAGAGGGUGGACGGCCACAUUGGGACUGAGAUACGGCCCAGACUCCUACGGGAGGCAGGAGUGGGGAAUAUUGCACAAUGGGCGGAAGCCUGAUGCAGCGACGCCGCGUGGGGGAUGACGGCCUUCGGGUUGUAAACUCCUUUCGACCGCGAGGAAGCCACCUGGUUGGAAGGGUGGUGACGGUAGUGGUAGAAGAAGCACCGGCUAACUACGUG
This 494-nucleotide ribosomal RNA is filed under the name uncultured bacterium. RNAcentral's name for it is "partial 16S ribosomal RNA". It matches the Rfam family "Bacterial small subunit ribosomal RNA", at positions 28 to 507 of the family's 1533-position model. The record is from RNAcentral.